Molecule: long non-coding RNA, 9187 nt
Organism: Mus musculus (house mouse)
Lineage: Eukaryota; Metazoa; Chordata; Mammalia; Rodentia; Muridae
Product: predicted gene, 41676
Exons: 2
Source: RefSeq, a predicted model, not a curated record
GGCGCGGGCCGGGCUGGCUCGUGCGGGGCUCGCGCUGCGCGGCGGCCGCGGUGACAGCUCGGGGGAUGCUCCGCUCGGCCCCGCGAACAACAAUACACUCUGACGUCACGGGGAAUGGCGCCGCGCUCACACGCGCUCACACCGUCCUCGCGCGCGCACCCCGCGCACACUCGCCGCGCGCCCCCUCCUCCGGCCACGCCCUGAAACGCGGACCGGACCCUUUUCCUCUCCGGUCCUGCCCGGGGCAGUUGGUCGGACAGGCUUGGGGCAGGCCGACCCACUCCAGUCUACCCUGUCCCAUCAGGGCCAAAAACACGCAACCAUGGUGGCUUUGGGAAGUUGGGGGGCUCUGCGCUCCGCAACUGGGCGCCCGGUCCUGAGAACGCGCGCGUGCGCGUCCGACACACACACACACACACACACACACACACACACACACACACUCACACACCCUCUCCCUCCUGCUCCCACCCCCAGCUCUGCGCUCCCCUAACCCUGCCUCUGCUUGGAGGGGUGGAUUCCCAGAGCCUUGCGGAACGAAAUCAGCCUCCUCUGGCACAGAACUAAUAUUGAAAGAGCAACUUGAUACUGCGCAGAGCCACCUACGCGGUCUGAAACAAUGCGAGACCGAAAGAGGUUUCGAAGAUUCAUGUCUCUCUAUGCCCGUAGUAUAUAUAGCAAUAAUUACCGUCUAAAUACUCUGUAGCCAUCAUUGCUAGCUUCUAAGGUGGUGCCUGUGUCAACAACAGUCGAACCUUUAGCAUUUGACUAUUUUCAAAAUUACAUUUGAUUUUGGGGUUCAGAAUAUAUGGAGAGUUGGGGGUGGUGGCGAACUACAUAAAAUGUACUAAGACUUCAAAGUUUAUGGUAACCUUUUAAAACUUCUUAUGCCACUCAUGAGCUGUUUCGGUUGAUAAAGUUGUAAUUAGAGAAAGAGACGACUAUGCCCGAACCCCUCAUUAAUCGUGCGUGUAUUUGUCUUGAGUAGGUAAAGACAAAACGUCACGCCUACCGGAUUAUUUACCUAAAGUUAUGUCCUGAAGGUAAUGAUAUGUAAAUAGAACGGUGUGGGUUUCUUCCUGGUCAUCAUCUCAUCUUGUCCUCCCCAAAGCAUUUAACACACUUUUCUCUCUACUGUAUAACAUAAGGAAACCAAGAACACCGGAAUAGCUGUAAGCUCUUCCUAAACUGGGCUUAAGGAACGCAAGAUUUUGGUCCUAAUUUUACUUUGUGCUAUUCUGCACUACUAUGAUUACAAGUAAUUCUUGUCUGAAGAGUGAACACUCAAGUCUAGAAAGAACACAUUUCCUUGAAAAUGAGACCAGCCAGAGCGAUCUCCUGAGAGCCCUGUCAAGUGUCUGAGGUAAUGAAAUUGGUUGAUGACAAACAAUUAAGCCGAGACAGUUAAUUCUUCUAAAAUAUUUGUUUUAUUAAUUUAUUUGAAUAACAAAAAUGCUAUCCAUCAGCUUAAAGAAAUAUCCAAAGACUUAUUCUCUCUCCUUUUGUUUAAAAAUAGGAUUUAAAGAACACACUGAUACUAUCCCCUGGGAAAAACUUUACACUUGCAAUUUGCAUAAUUCUAACCAGGUGUGUCACAGUUUUAUCUUCCAUCUCAAAUAUAUUAAAUUUGAGAUUUGUUCACAUCUGCCUUUAUUCCCAAGAAUUGUCAUUAUGAGUACAGUAAUUGAUACACCAAGGGUUUUUUUUUAUUAUUAUUGUAAUGGUUUUUCUUCUAUAUAGAAAUAACUUUUGAGCAAGCAGAUCAUAGCAUGGAAUUUGUUAUUUUUCUGUAACAUAGUACUUCAUAAGAAGUUUGAGAGGCCAUUAUAAGACAACCUACUUUGUGUAUUUUGUUGAUUUAAUAUUAAGAGACUAUGUGUCACCCCACUUAAGCAGAUUUAAGUUGAUGUUCAAAAAGCUAUCAGUCUUGCGUGCCUUCGAUGACAGCUAAGUUUGAGCAAGCACAGUUCAGAGCUAAUUCUUGCAUACCAUUUCCCUUUGGGGUAUUGUGUUUUAAUCACACAGACCAGGUAAAUCUGCUAAAAGUCUGGUGAGUAUCUAUGCCAACCUAGAAUACUUCAGAGGUGGACCAUAAGAAAAGCCACCACUUCAGAGAGGUAACUGAUUUAGUCCUUUAUUUUGUAUUUCAGCCUAUUUGGUCAUCAGCUUUCCUGAGAUGCAUUUAUUUUUCUCAAUGUAUAAUAUGAGUGCAGUAGGGAAGAGGAAAGAUUUAAUGUGAAUCAAAUAUGAACCUUUUAUUUGUAAAUAACAUAAAUAUCAUUUUUAAAAUAUGUGUAUGUGUGUGUCUGUGUGAAGGUAUGCAAAAGUGAGUGCACUGGCCAUGGAGGUCAGAAAAGGUCAUAGCCUCUGUAGCUAGAGUGACAGGAAGUGGAGAGCCAAGCUGCCUGAUGUGGUCAAUGCUGGAACCAAACUCAGGUCCUCUGCAGAAGCAACAUAAGUGCUGAUAAUUAACCACGGAGCCAUCUCUCCAGCUCCUCUCUGGAUCACUAUUAUUAAAACAGUAUAUGGUAAAUUUCCCAAGAAAUAUGCAGGUAGAAUUAAUUGAAAAAUAGGAAAAUAAUUCUCCACUGGAAAAAUCAUGGGAACCUUUAAUAAAGCGGGUUCAUUAGAUAGAAGUGGGAUUUGCAACAUGUAAGGAUAUUUACUUUUGCAAGAAGGAAAUUAACAAACUACAACAACAACAAAAACUAUUUCCAAGCAAGAGUAGGAAAUUUCAGUCAGGACAGUUAACACCUAGGAGAAUGUUUAAGCAGGCAGAUGACAACUACCAAGUAUACUAAUAUGCCAAACUCUUAUUAGCUCAUGUGUUUUCUCAAGGGCCUUCUUAUGAGAAAUAAUAAUUCAAAGCCAGGGCCUAGGAGGGCCUGCCUAUAAAGUGGCCCCCAUCUAAUUUUCAUUCCUAUAGAACAACACCCAAGUCAAGCUACAUACAAUUACCUGUUACUCUAGCUCUAGGAAAUCCCAUGUCCUGUCUGGCCUCUGUGGAUACCCAAAGACAUGGCAUAUAUACACUCGCAUAGACACACACAUACAUGUAAGUAAAAAUAUUGCAACACAUUUAACAGUGAUUGUCCAGUGAGUAUCAAAUAAGUUAUAAUAACUAUUCAUUUAUCUACAGGAAGGUAGAGAUAAUAGUACGCUGGAAAAAAUGGCCAAAGGUCAUAGGAGAGCACAACAUCAAACAAAGGUAAACUUUAAAAGUUGGGGCCAGCCGGGCAGUGGUGGCGCACGCCUUUAAUCCCAGCACUUAGGAGUUGGGAGGCAGAGGCAGGUGGAUUUCUGAGUUUGUGGCCAGCCUGGUCUACAGAGUGAAUUUCAGGACUGCCAGAGAUAUACAGAGAAACCCUGUCUCAAAAACAAAACAAAACAAAACAAAAAACAAAAAAAACAGAAACAAAAACAACAUAAAACAAAACAAAACAAAACAAAAAACAAAACCAAAAAAGUUGGGGCCAGAAGUGAAGCUAUGUGUCUGGUCUCUUGGGAAAUUCAAGGCUUCAUCAUGGGCCUGUGCAAAGACUUUGCCAAAAGUUUCUGGGUUUCUGGAUGGAAUGAGUAGAAUAACUGUGUGGUAUUUAAAGCCUAUGUAUAAACAGUUACAGACUCCUUAGUUGGACAUCACAGGAGACAGUCUAGAAUGAAUGGAAACACCAUUAUUCCACACACAUAAGCACGCACACCAUGCCCCCCCCACACACACACACCAAAAGAAACGCACACAAAAACAGUAGAUACAUCAGAAAAAGUGGAAAGGGUGGGAGUCAAUACAAGAUGAGAGCAUUAAGGCAGAGUAGCAAGGCACAUAGCCAGGGCUGAAUAGCCUUUACAAUCAAAUAGCUUGUUCUUUGUCUCACAAAUAUAUUAUGGCCAAGGUAAGGACUUCUGAAUUCUAAAAUAAGGAUAUUUAAUGACUCUGUUUUCCUAAGUACCAUUUGCUAUUCAUAAAGCUCUAAUGCCUCUGGAAAGCCCACACAUGUGACCUUCCUGUUUCCUGUGUCUAUUCCUCUGCCCAUGGAAGCUCCAACAUGAAGUAAACCGCUUGUCCUAGGGCAUAACAAACAUUUCCUGAAUUAAAGUAUUGGAAAUUUACUGAAGAUCAUUCUUUUCAUUCUGAAUGCAAUAAAAGUUCCAGUGAAUCCAGAUUUAUUUCAAUGCUUUUUUUCCUUAACAACAAUUUUAUGUCUUCCAGGUCUCACUCAUGUGUAACAUAAAAGGUGUAAUGUAGAACCAAAUACAAUAUUCAUUAACUCUCUAUACUCAGAUAUUGAAGAGUGGAUGUCCCUGAAGACUAAUGAACUUUGGCUUGUAUAUAAUAUUUGAAUACUAGGUCUCCUGUGUAGUAUUUCAACAAUUCUAUGUCUCUUGCUGUAUCCAUUUUAAGCCAGGUUAAAAUUAAAAUACAAGUCGAAGCAUCAGAUGAACUUUGAUAACAAAGUGGCAAUACUGCAUAUCAGAAACUGAUUUUGUCUAGACUCGAGAUAAUGCUUUUAGAAGGAAAUGAGUGGAUUAGUUGAAUGUAUUUUUUACUUUAUUUAUUCGUUAAUAAUUUGUUGAAAUUAUUUAUUUUUCUGAUCUGUAGCAGUUUAGCAGUUUAGGAUUUCAGAUACUCUGAGUCUUUUUCACUAUAGGUGGCAAUGAAGCAAAGAACAAAAGAGGUUUUUCUUUUCUGCAAAACUCUCCUUCAGUUGAUUUCAUCUUCAUCAUUAACCAGUGUCAGUUUCAGUUUUUAGCUAAUUAGGGGUGUUUGAGACUUGUUUUUAAUUCUCUAGUCAGGUUUUACUGUCAGCCUUCGCUCCACUAAUUAUAAGGGCAUUUUCAUGAUGGCUCUGGAGUCUUAGUGCCAAAGUGUUCUUUAAAUGGGAGAGAAUUGGGGAAACAGAAGCUAAAAUAUGUUCAUAGCUUUCUUCUUUUGCACUUUCCUAAAUUGCUCUUUCUUUCUCUCUCUGUCUCCCUUUUUCCUGUUUUUAUCUUUCUGCUUCCUUAGGGCAAUAACAAACCCAGCUUCUGAGUAGGGCCCUUCAUUCAAGAAUUUACCUUCCCCCUUUAAACCCUUAAUUAGGCAUAGAGAACACAGUGUGAUUUAUGGCCUGGUGUUUAACAGGCUCACACUUAAUCCAUUACACAAAAGGGUUACACAUACGCCCUAACAGCGGCUCUCAUUAGUUUAUACAAAAUGAAAGAAAAAAAAAGGAAAAAGGAAAAAAAGAAAAAAGAAAAAGGAACCACUUAGAAAAUGUAAAUAGAGCUCUGGCUGAUAGUAUCUUUUUAUGCAUAUGCCAUGUGAUUCGAGUUUCAACACUGCAGUCUAACAGAGCUUUUUGCUUAUUUUCAGAGCUACAAAUUACAUUUCUCUAGGUAAACUCUAAUUCAAUCCCACUCUUACUAGCUAAGAAGGAAAAUCACGUGCUUCUAAAUUCAUCUUUGUGUGAAAAGAACAUUCUGAGUUCAGAAAGAAGACGAGAAUUCUGAUUCACACUUAAAUCUCAGAUGCUACACACAGGUCAAUGGCAUGUUGGUUAUGGCCUGCUUCACUUUGUGUUGAACAAAUGCACAGCUUUUGUGAUUGAGACUUCACAAAAGAGAACUUCAGAGGAAUCGCCAACAAGUAAUUCAUCCUGAUAAUUUUCCCACUGUCUGCAGUUUUAAGUUGUACAGUAGCUUCCUCCUUAUUGUAUCCAUAGCAUUGACAGCUCAAAGGGCAAUAUAAAGCUAUUUUGCUACUUUUACAAGGAUGGAUUGAAAGGAUGGGAGAUACAAGUCCUUUUGUAACAGAAGAAUUCUUAUUGCUUUCCCAUUGAGUUUUAUUGCAGGGGACACGGCACUGAUCAUCUUAGCCAACACACUUCCAGUAACCAUGGGGUGUCCUGAUUGAUUACCUCAAAAGCGUGGAUAACUGGAAGAUCUCUUAGGAGCCCAUUGUGGCAGGGAAAUGCCAUCCAGACCUGCAGCCAAGCAUGCGAUGGAAGAAAAGAAGUUAGACCAUGCAGGAACCGCCACUCCAGUGAGAACCACCCAGCAAUGAGGAAAGGCAACAGGGCUGCAUUUCAGGGGUGCAGAGGGAGAGAGAUCCUCCCUGUGUCAGUCCCUCAGGAUUUUCAUUUAUCAGCCCCCCAAGGGCUGGAGGUGAUGGCACAGCAAAGCAUAUUUAUUUUUUCCUGUGACACUAGAGAAAUACAGAAAACGAUAUUGCUCAUCUACUUCCUCUGGCUUUCCACAACUCUGUCACACUUAGGCAAGAUGUCCCCAAGGAAAGGGAUCAAAGCUAGUUAUGACAUUCAAAUGUCAAAAUAGUGAGGCAUGCCUUUUAACAAUACCUGGUAAGAAUAUUCUGGUAAGAAUUUUUAUCAAUGCACAUUUUUUAGCAGAAAAUUCUUUUCUCGAGAGACUCCCAUUUUUAAACCAAAAGGUGAUCAAUACUGUAGAACACCCAAAUGUCAAUCAAAACCAUUCUGUCUAGCCAGCAUUCAUUUGUUUCCACAUCAUAAGACUGGCUCUCCCUACUUUGUCUUUGUGGCUGGUUUGCUAUGUCUCUAUGCAGCAAAGGACUAGUUCAUGUUGGAAAACUUGUUUAAUCUUUUAAUUUCUGUUCUUUUAGAAUAUAUAAUUGUUACAACAUGCAAAAGGCUCAAGUUCAAAGUGAUGAGUCUGACAAUUUUAUAUUCAGCUAUAACUAUCAUUCAAAAGAACAUAUAAAACAUUUCUAUCAGCCAGAGCUUUCUUCCUGCUGUCAUAACUUAGACUGUGCAGGAAGAAACACUUUCAGACUGAUUUUAACUUGCUGUAAGCUCUUGAUAUUUUCCUGCCAGUCACGUGUCUGUAUGUGUUUGUAAUGGCAUCUACUGUGCUUAAUCAAGUUAUAUAGGUGUAUAUGUAUUAUACACCUAUAAGUGUUAUAUAGAGUUAUAUAGGUUAUAUGCAUUUAACUUUCUGUUAUGAUUAAGGAUUGGGGCAUUUGCGAAGAAUACCUUGUAUACCCCAAGGUCAAACAUGGCUAACUGGAAGAUCUCUUAGGAGCCAAGGUCAAUUAUCAUUCUGGCCUAGGAGCCACGCUUUUGUCUGUGGUAGAAACAUAAUUAAUUUUUGUGACUAGGAUGAGAUAUAACCUUUUACAAAAUUUAUUAUUUCAUUUAUUCAUUGAAUUUCUUUAGCCCUGUUAUCACACCAAAGACAGGACCUGUAUGGAUCUAUUUCUGGCCUUUUAAAUUUUUAUUCUAUUUGCCUGUUUGAUUUAUAUUACAUGUACUAGUGAAAAACCAUCAUAAUUAUUGAAGCUUUGCAGGGAAGUUGAAAUAAAAUACAUAAAUUUUGAGGGUUUCUUGCUUUUGUAUGCGUUUUAUAGCUAAUUGCUCUUCUAUACACAUUAAAGAUUUAGCCAAUUUUGGUAUAGAUAGACAUGAAUUUAGAGGUCAAUUUAAAAAGAAUAGCACAUUAGCCAAGUAGAAUGAAUAUAUUAAUGAAGUGAAAGAUCAUUUGAAGGACUCAAAUGGAAAGUACUAAAACUGGUAUAUUUGUAAAGUUGAGCUAUUAUUUUCCGGUUAUAUUUUAGAAUUUUUAAAGUAGAACUCUUGAACAAGGCUAUUAGAUUUAUAUUCAACUCUUGAGUAUUGCUAUAAUCUAAAAUGUUACUUUAACUUGUGUUUUGAUUUAUGUACUAAUAUUGUAUAAGAUUAAUAGUUUUUAAAAGAGUAUCUUUCAUGUUGUAACUUUGCCAAAUUAAUUUUUUGGUGUUAUUUAUUAUUUGCAAUAACUUACUUGAAAGCAUUGUGUUGUAUUCCUUUUCUGAAUUAAUACAUUUUAUUUAUUUUUCUUGCUUUAUUACACUAGCUAACAUUUUGAAAAAAAAAGCAUGAAUUCAUAUGAAGGAAAACCACAUCCAAAUAUCUAUGCUCUGGGGUGAAGAAGAAAACUAACAGUUCUUACUGCUCUUCUCAGCAUGAAGGUGUUAAAUUAUAUUAAAAGCAUUUCUUCAAACGAUACGGUUUUUUCCUACUCUGUAAACAUAAUAUGCAGGUUACAGUUUAACCAUGUUUGCAAUAAUAAAAUUUAUUAUAUUUAAUAUAAAGAUACUUUGAGAAGUUGCUGUCUUUGUUAUUUUGUUGAUGGUUUAAUCCUAAUGCUCAGAAGCAAAACUAAGCUUUAAUUUUCUUUUAAUGCAUGUAAAAUGUGUGAAUAUAAUAGUAAUGAAUUCAUUGUGUAAGUUGUAAUAUUUAUUCCUACUUUUGUUGAAAUGAUGUUUUACUAGAAUGUUAAUUUUUUUCCUUAAAUAAUGAGUAGAAUUUGCUGUAAACUUCAUAAAAGUAAAAUUACAAUUGUGUGCAUAAAGGCUUUUGGUAACAAAUUAAUUUUCUUAUAUAAAAGGCUAUCAAUGUUCUCUCUCCUCUGAUCUGCAUUUCACUAAAGCUUUGCACAUUUUAUUGGUAGUAGUUUGUGAUUUAAACAAAUUGAAUAUGGCAAAUUGAGAUACUGUAAUUAUUAUAUAUGUGAAUGUAUGAUGUAUUCAACUAUAAAUUUUAUCUAGAGUUAGAAUCCUUUGACCAAUCUCGAAGUCAAAACUAGCUCCUAUCACCAGGGUACAGGACCACAUAGGAAUAGUCUUCCUCACAUGAGUUCACUCACUUAAAACAACAUAUUGAUAUAGCUUUCAUUUAUUAAUGCUAUUGUAGGCAUUGCUAGUUUGUUUCUUUUUAUUUAUAAGUAGUAUUCUAUCUAUAAUUAUACGUCUAUGCAACACCAGACAAUGUAUCUACUUUCAGAUGAUUAUAAAUAGUACUGAGAACAUUUGUGCACAAAUAUUUAUGUGGACAUAUGUUUUCAUUUUCCUUGGUAAAUACCCACAAGUGAAAUUACUGUUUUAUGUUGUGUAUGUUUAAGUUUUCAAAUUGGUGAAUCUCAUUUAAACAUGUUUCCAAACUGAUACCUUAUGCUUCAGUAAAAUUUAUAUUUAAAACAUUUACCUAACUUUUUAUUAUAAUUUGUUGUUUUAUUAUUGAGUUUUAGGAAUUCUUCAUAUAUUGUGAACAGAAUUUUCAUAUUCUUUGAACAUAGGCUCUUCAUCAAAUAUCUGAUUUAAAGAUAUUUUCUCUUUGUGAUUUAUCUUUAAUUUCCUGACAGUAGUUUUGAAAUGGAAAGAUCAUUUUUUAUGUUGAUAAAAUCUGACCGCCUUCUU